Molecule: long non-coding RNA, 677 nt
Filed under: Brassica napus (rape)
Lineage: Eukaryota; Viridiplantae; Streptophyta; Magnoliopsida; Brassicales; Brassicaceae
Description: long non-coding RNA (BNAP_LNC015709)
Source: RNAcentral
UUUGAUAUCACGUUUUGAUUGUUGUUAUGGUUGUUGCAAUGUGAUAGAACUCUCGUGUGUUUGCUUGCUUAUAUAGAAAAAACCUUGCCACGUUUCUGCCAAGAUUUGCCACGAUAUUUGCUACAAUUUUUUCUAAGAAAUCCCACUAAAAUUGCUACGGUUUUUCUACGAUUCUUUUCGUGGCAAAUAUUAGAAUCUUUUCUGCACCGAAUCAGACGGAUGUGAUUGCACUAAGAAAGCUUGCCACGAAAUGCUUCAGUUUUUUGUAUUUGUCACUGCCUUAUGUGCAGGAUUGGAUUGAUGGGAUUUUGUUUCGGUGGGCUAGCCACGGCUUUGCUACGAUUCUAUUCGUGGCAAUCUUUUUUUUUGUUUUUUUCUGGCUGACUAAGAUAAAAUAAUAAUAUAUGUCGAUACCCACAAUUAAAACAUUGCAAAACGUAGCAAUUAAGUGCCACGAAUACAUUCGUAGCAAUUUCGUAGCAAUCUUUGCUACGUUUUGCCAGCAAAGUGCCAUGUUUUUGUUUUCGUAGCAUAUCGUAGGUGCAUUAGCUUUUACGUUUUUGCCACGAAAUUCACGUGGCAUGUUCGUGGCUGUGGCCUUGUUUUUUUUUUACCAGUGGACAGUGACUUGUUUUGAGAAGUACAGUGACUGUUGCUGUACCAAGCAAAAUAAAAUC